ACAAUCUGAAUCUGCGAACGGCUCCGCAUACCAGUUGUAAUCCAUAGCGAGACAGGUUCGGGAUGGGCACCUCGGUGUCGUACCCGGGCCUGGAUACGGAUAGCCCUGGUAAUUCUGAGACUAAUACGAGAAGUUACAACCUGGUCAACCGGGCAACUGGAAGGCUGGGGGUCGUGUAAAGCUUAACCGCUGCACACGAUCGGGCGAUUCCGUACACGAUCAGACCGCCAUACAAACGUGCUGGGACCAAGUAGUACCUUCGGGGAACCGCGGUCCUGGUGCGGGCGGCUCUCGCUCGUGCUUCUGACCUAUCAACUAGACAGCAGUUUGAGGGNCAUGCUAUGGUCACAACGGGUACAGAGGAUAAGGGUUCGAUCCUGGAGAGUGGGCCUGAGAGAUU
Molecule: ribosomal RNA, 400 nt
Filed under: Physarum viride
Lineage: Eukaryota; Evosea; Eumycetozoa; Physariida; Physaraceae
Description: SSU rRNA
Rfam family: Eukaryotic small subunit ribosomal RNA
Source: RNAcentral